AACGAACGCUGGCGGCAGGCUUAACACAUGCAAGUCGAGCGCCUCGCAAGAGGAGCGGCAGACGGGUGAGUAACGCGUGGGAACGUUCCCUUAUCUUCGGAAUAGCUCUGGGAAACUGGAAGUAAUACCGAAUGUGCCCUUAGGGGGAAAGAUUUAUCGGAUAAGGAUCGGCCCGCGUUGGAUUAGCUAGUUGGUGGGGUAAAGGCCUACCAAGGCGACGAUCCAUAGCUGGUCUGAGAGGAUGAUCAGCCACAUUGGGACUGAGACACGGCCCAAACUCCUACGGGAGGCAGCAGUGGGGAAUAUUGGACAAUGGGCGCAAGCCUGAUCCAGCCAUGCCGCGUGAGUGAUGAAGGCCUUAGGGUUGUAAAGCUCUUUCACCGGAGAAGAUAAUGACGGUAUCCGGAGAAGAAGCCCCGGCUAACUUCGUG
This 431-nucleotide ribosomal RNA is filed under the name uncultured bacterium. Its description in RNAcentral is "partial 16S ribosomal RNA". It matches the Rfam family "Bacterial small subunit ribosomal RNA", at positions 29 to 507 of the family's 1533-position model. The record is from RNAcentral.